CGCGGGGAUCCGCGCUCCGCGGCCGCGCAGUCGUCCGGGGCUGCGCCAUGUGGACGCGGGCGCGGCUGGGCGCGCCGGCUGAGUUCGCUGCUGCCCUUAGGGGCCCGCGGCGCGGCGGCCGAACAGCGAGCCGGGAGGCGAUGCAGAGGGCAGGCCGGCGGGACCGAGAGCCGGGCCGCUGUGCAGACUGGCGGCGGCGAGGCAGCCAGGAGGAGGACAGAGCUGUGAAAUACGGUCUUCAGACAUCAUCAGACCAAACAUCACCAGAGAGAUGAACUGACUGGUGUAAGCCUGCGGACAACACGGCGGCGUCAGCAGAGCCAGGGUGAACGAGCACGUGGCAACCACCCAAGACGAGACAGGUCGCUGGGCUUCCCUCUCGGCCUCCUGCCACCCCCCCGCGCGGGUGCCCAUGUGGCUCCUUCUACCUUGGUGCUGGCCACGCCGAUCUCUGGUCCCGCGUUGAUGUGGACGCCGCAGUCAGUCUCCCGGGAGAUGGAGCUGCCCACGGUGUUGGUGACGCCCACGGUCAGGGCCCGGCGGUCCUUACAGUAACGCAGCGCCAGGAGGGUGUCUGCGGUCUCGCCUGCCACACAUGUCCUUCUUUUCAGCUCACAGGCGCUGGCUUGGCCAGCCCGCACCCCCAACCCCCAACUCAUUUACUUUUCUUAGCCAGAAAUUGGGGCCCGGACACAGUGCUCAGAAAGGAAAAUGCGUGCUCAACAAUUUUUCUGGUUGAUUCUUAGAUUCAAGAUUUUGCUUCUUUUUAUGUGGCAAGCACUCUCAUUCACUGUCUCACUGAACUCUCAUGACAACUCCAUGGGGGCUGGCACCCCUGUUUUCCCUUGAGGAUGGGGUGCUCAGAGGCGGAGAAAAUUGAUGUCUCAUUUGCUCAAGGCCAAGUAGCUGCGGCUGAAGGGCAGGCCUAGCCCCCCCGUGCCCUUUCCCAGACGCUGAACUGCCUUUUUCAGGAUGGGCUGGGAUUUAACGUUGUUUUUUAAGAAUGUCCCUAAAUGGUGCUUCUCAAGCAGAUUUUGUUUUGUUUUUUAAAUUAAAAAAAAAAUUGGGGGGGAGGUAAUUAGGUUUUAAUAUUUAUUUAUAUUUAGAGGAGGGACUGGGGACUGAACGUAGGACUUUGUGUAUGCUAUGCAUGUGCUCUGCCCCUGAGCUAUACCCUCCCCCCCAUCAGACAGAUUUUGUUUCAAAGGAGAACAGCUUCUUGGAGCCUCCCAGUUGUGGACUCAAAUUAUUUUCAUAAUAAAGCUACCUAAAUACGUUCAUGCAAAAGUCAGCACAAACUCCUUAUGUUUCUAAAUCCUAAGAACUCAAGCUAAAGUAAACGCGAUCCAGACCAUAAAACCAAACGUUCACAGCCACCGCUCUUGGCUAUGCUGUCCCAGCGUCUCUGCGGGCAGGCUGCGGCUACUACCGCCAGCUCCCCUCAGACCAGUGCCCAGCACACUGGGGUGUCACAUGGCCCUCCCUCAGUGUCACUGGGGGCGAAGGCUGGGGAGCAGGGAGGCUCUGCCUUCAUCAGCUGCCCCUUCACCAGUUUCUGAUAGCUUCUAAAAAUUUGAAAUAAAGGGCUAAACAAAAUGAAAGUUGAAGCCCCUUUUAGGAAGUCACUCAGGAGCUGCCACUGCAUUAUCUUCACAUUAAACCCAUCUCUGUCGUUUGGUCAGUGGCUUCCACCAAUUCAUGACACAUUCUGAGGCUCUGGUGGGACUGUAAACGCAAAGGCAGCAGUGACAGCUGAAGCCCGCGGGCCGUGCCUGGUCCGAGGCGAUCCGCUAGGUGGCGAGUGUGUCUGCAUUAGUUUCUGUCAGCUUGUCACCGAGAUGGAAAUGUAUUAAAAGCUCGAAAUGACAAAGAAUAUGAAAAUGAAUAUAUGUAUGUAUGUGGAUGACUGAAACAUGAUGCUUACACUGGAAGCUGACACACUGUGACUGAGUACGCUUCAAUCAAAACAAAAAGUUAAAAAUGAAGCGAUAUUAAAAGGUA
This is a long non-coding RNA of Camelus dromedarius (Arabian camel), 2001 nucleotides long. RefSeq lists it as uncharacterized. The transcript has 2 exons. NCBI's taxonomy places the organism in Eukaryota, Metazoa, Chordata, Mammalia, Artiodactyla, Camelidae. The record is from RefSeq and is a predicted model, not a curated record.